This 284-nucleotide long non-coding RNA is filed under the name Mytilus galloprovincialis (Mediterranean mussel). Lineage: Eukaryota; Metazoa; Mollusca; Bivalvia; Mytilida; Mytilidae. The record is from RNAcentral.
UUAAAAGAGGGACGAAAGAUACCAAAGGGACAGUCAAACUCAUAAAUCUAAAACAAACUGACAACGCCAUGGCUGAAAAUGAAAAAGACAAACAAACAACAGCACACACGACACAACAUAGAAAACUAAAGAAUAAACAACACGAACCCCACCAAAAACUAGGGGUGAUCUCAGGUGCUCCGGAAGGGUAAGCAGAUACUGCUCCACAUUCGGCACCCGUCGUGUUGCUUAUGUGAUAACAAAUCCGGUAAAUAGUCUAAUUCGGUAGGUCACAUUCAUGAAAG